CCGGUAUAAAUACAGAUGUAAUAAGACAAUAAACACAGAACCUGGCUGGAGAACCUCACUAUACUGAUCAACUGAACGCUGUCUCUAUUUGAUUGGUCUUGGUCCUCAUACCUCCAGGAAGAAACAGGAUCUCGAUAAGCUCUAUGAGCUGAAGUCCAAAGCUUGGCAGAUUAUGAAUCAGUUUGGUCCCUCAGCCCUCGUCAACCUGUCCAAUUUCUCAUCCAUAAAACCGGAACCAGCCAGCACCCCUCCACAAGGCUCCAUGGCCAAUAGCACUACAGUGGUAAAGAUACCAGGCACGCCUGGGUCUGGAGGGCGUCUCAGCCCUGAAAACAAUCAGGUGUUGACCAAGAAGAAAUUACAAGACUUAGUAAGAGAAGUGGCUCCGAAUGAGCAAUUGGAUGAAGUUGUAGAGGAGAUGCUGCUGCAGACUGCUGAUGAUUUUAUUGAGAGUGUAGUGACAGCAGCCUGCCAGCUUGCUCGGCAUCGCAAGUCCAGCACCCUGGAGGUGAAGGACGUCCAGCUGCACCUAGAGCGCCAGUGGAACAUGCAGAUCCCAGAAUUUGUCUCUGAAGAAAUCCGACCCUACAAAAAAGCUUGCACCACAGAGGCUCACAAACAGAGAAUGGCAUUGAUCCGGAAAACAACCAAGAAAUAACACAUGGAAAGAUCAGGGAAUGCACAACAUUGUAUUUGGAGAUACUUGAGCUGAGACCUCAGCCAUCUCAUCUUUGGAUUUUAUUUUAAUUAAA
RNA transcript from Myotis lucifugus (little brown bat), 752 nucleotides. It is a transcript of the gene named transcription initiation factor TFIID subunit 12 pseudogene, with no coding region annotated. The record is from RefSeq and is a predicted model, not a curated record. The transcript has a single exon. Lineage: Eukaryota; Metazoa; Chordata; Mammalia; Chiroptera; Vespertilionidae.